This 496-nucleotide ribosomal RNA is filed under the name uncultured bacterium. RNAcentral describes it as "bacterial SSU rRNA". It matches the Rfam family "Bacterial small subunit ribosomal RNA", at positions 21 to 507 of the family's 1533-position model. The record is from RNAcentral.
GGCUCAGGAUGAACGCUAGCGGCAGGCUUAACACAUGCAAGUCGAGGGGCAGCAUGACGGAACCUUCGGGUUUCAUUGAUGGCGACCGGCGCAAGGGUGCGUAACGCGUGAGCAACUUGCCCUUAUCAGGGGGAUAACCGGUGGAAACGCCGACUAAUACCCCAUAGUAUCACUUUAAGGCAUCUUUAGUGAUUAAAGAAAUUCGGAUAAGGAUAGGCUCGCGUGACAUUAGCUAGAUGGCGGGGUAACGGCCCACCAUGGCGACGAUGUCUAGGGGUUCUGAGAGGAAGGUCCCCCACACUGGAACUGAGACACGGUCCAGACUCCUACGGGAGGCAGCAGUGAGGAAUAUUGGUCAAUGGCCGAGAGGCUGAACCAGCCAUGCCGCGUGAAGGUCACGGCCCUAUGGGUCUUAAACUUCUUUUGUAAGGGAGCAAUAAGGUCUACGUGUAGACUGAUGAGAGUACCUUACGAAUAAGCAUCGGCUAACUCCGUG